CCUACACAUGCAAGUCGAGCGCGAAAGCACUUCGGUGUGAGUAGAGCGGCGGACCCCUUAAUAACGCGUAGGAAUCUACCUAGUAGUGGGGGACAAAUCGGGGAAACUCGAGCUAAUACCGCAUAAGCCCUACGGGGGAAAGCGGGGGACCUUCGGGCCUCGUGCUAUUAGAUGAGCCUGCGUUGGAUUAGCUAGUUGGUGGGGUAAAGGCCUACCAAGGCGACGAUCCAUAGCUGGUCUGAGAGGAUGAUCAGCCACACCGGGACUGAGACACGGCCCGGACUCCUACGGGAGGCAGCAGUGGGGAAUAUUGCGCAAUGGGCGAAAGCCUGACGCAGCCAUGCCGCGUGUGUGAAGAAGGCCUUCGGGUUGUAAAGCACUUUCAAUUGGGAGGAAAGGUUCACGGUUAAUAACCGUGAGCUGUGACGUUACCUUUAGAAGAAGCACCGGCUAACUCCGUGCCAGCAGCCGCGGUAAUACGGAGGGUGCGAGCGUUAAUCGGAAUUACUGGGCGUAAAGCGCGCGUAGGUGGUCUGUUAAGUCGGAUGUGAAAGCCCCGGGCUCAACCUGGGAACUGCAUUCGAUACUGGCAGACUAGAGUGCGAGAGA
RNAcentral lists this ribosomal RNA (609 nucleotides) under uncultured bacterium. RNAcentral describes it as "bacterial SSU rRNA". It matches the Rfam family "Bacterial small subunit ribosomal RNA", at positions 48 to 655 of the family's 1533-position model. The record is from RNAcentral.